CAAUAGCGUAUAUUAAAGUUGUUGCAGUUAAAAAGCUCGUAGUUGGAUUUCUGGUUGAAGCGACCGGUCGGGCGUUGAUUCGUCUGCACUGGAGUCGGUUUUGGCCAUCCUCUAGGAAAGUGCGUCUGGUAUUAAGUUAUCGGGCGUAUGAUCCUGGUCUUUUACUGUGAAAAAAUUAGAGUGUUUAAAGCAGGCCUUCGCCUUGAAUACAUUAGCAUGGAAUAAUAAGAUAGGACUUUGGUCUAUUUUGUUGGUUUGCAGACCGAAGUAAUGAUUAAUAGGGAUAGUUGGGGGUAUUUAUAUCCCGAUGUCAGAGGUGAAAUUCUUAGAUUUUCGGAAGAUAAACUUAUGCGAAAGCAUUUACCAAGGAUGUUUUCAUUAA
This 382-nucleotide ribosomal RNA is filed under the name uncultured eukaryote. RNAcentral's name for it is "partial 18S ribosomal RNA". It matches the Rfam family "Eukaryotic small subunit ribosomal RNA", at positions 592 to 976 of the family's 1831-position model. The record is from RNAcentral.